CAGCAGCCGCGGUAAUACGGAGGGGGCUAGCGUUGUUCGGAAUUACUGGGCGUAAAGCGCACGUAGGCGGCUUGGUAAGUUAGAGGUGAAAGCCUGGAGCUCAACUCCAGAAUUGCCUUUAAGACUGCCGAGCUAGCAGGUGAGAGAGGUAAGUGGAAUUCCGAGUGUAGAGGUGAAAUUCGUAGAUAUUCAGAAGAACACCAGUGGCGAAGGCGGCUUACUGGCUCAUACUGGACGCUGAGGUGCGAAAGCGUGGGGAGCAAACAGGAUUAGAUACCCCCGUAGUCCCUGUCUCUUAUAC
RNAcentral lists this ribosomal RNA (301 nucleotides) under uncultured bacterium. RNAcentral describes it as "partial 16S ribosomal RNA". It matches the Rfam family "Bacterial small subunit ribosomal RNA", at positions 509 to 807 of the family's 1533-position model. The record is from RNAcentral.